This 301-nucleotide ribosomal RNA is filed under the name uncultured bacterium. RNAcentral describes it as "partial 16S ribosomal RNA". It matches the Rfam family "Bacterial small subunit ribosomal RNA", at positions 509 to 808 of the family's 1533-position model. The record is from RNAcentral.
CAGUAGCCGCGGUAACACAGAGGGUGCGAGCGUUAAUCGGAUUUACUGGGCGUAAAGCGUGCGUAGGCGGCUUCUUAAGUCGGAUGUGAAAUCCCUGAGCUUAACUUAGGAAUUGCAUUCGAUACUGGGAAGCUAGAGUAUGGGAGAGGAUGGUAGAAUUCCAGGUGUAGCGGUGAAAUGCGUAGAGAUCUGGAGGAAUACCGAUGGCGAAGGCAGCCAUCUGGCCUAAUACUGACGCUGAGGUACGAAAGCAUGGGGAGCAAACAGGAUUAGAUACCCGUUAGUCCCUGUCUCUUAUACA